Molecule: ribosomal RNA, 403 nt
Filed under: Verrucomicrobiota bacterium
Lineage: Bacteria; Pseudomonadati; Verrucomicrobiota
Description: Verrucomicrobia bacterium partial 16S ribosomal RNA
Rfam family: Bacterial small subunit ribosomal RNA
Source: RNAcentral
UGGGGAAUCUUGCGCAAUGGGCGAAAGCCUGACGCAGCCAUGCCGCGUGAAUGAUGAAGGUCUUAGGAUUGUAAAAUUCUUUCACCGGGGACGAUAAUGACGGUACCCGGAGAAGAAGCCCCGGCUAACUUCGUGCCAGCAGCCGCGGUAAUACGAAGGGGGCUAGCGUUGCUCGGAAUUACUGGGCGUAAGGGAGCGUAGGCGGACAUUUAAGUCAGGGGUGAAAUCCCGGGGCUCAACCUCGGAAUUGCCUUUGAUACUGGUUGUCUUGAGUAUGAGAGAGGUGUGUGGAACUCCGAGUGUAGAGGUGAAAUUCGUAGAUAUUCGGAAGAACACCAGUGGCGAAGGCGACACACUGGCUCAUUACUGACGCUGAGGCUCGAAAGCGUGGGGAGCAAACAGG